GACAGCAGUCGCCGCGGGAAUACGGAGGGUGCAAGCGUUAUCCGGAUUUAUUGGGUUUAAAGGGUCCGUAGGCGGAUCUGUAAGUCAGUGGUGAAAUCUCACAGCUUAACUGUGAAACUGCCAUUGAUACUGCAGGUCUUGAGUAAAUUUGAAGUGGCUGGAAUAAGUAGUGUAGCGGUGAAAUGCAUAGAUAUUACUUAGAACACCAAUUGCGAAGGCAGGUCACUAAGAUUUAACUGACGCUGAUGGACGAAAGCGUGGGGAGCGAACAGGAUUAGAUACCCGGGUAGUCCCUGUCUCUUAUAA
Molecule: ribosomal RNA, 306 nt
Filed under: uncultured bacterium
Lineage: Bacteria
Description: partial 16S ribosomal RNA
Rfam family: Bacterial small subunit ribosomal RNA
Source: RNAcentral